This 338-nucleotide long non-coding RNA is filed under the name Homo sapiens (human). Its description in RNAcentral is "HSALNT0024833". Lineage: Eukaryota; Metazoa; Chordata; Mammalia; Primates; Hominidae. The record is from RNAcentral.
CCUCUGAAGAUGGAGAAGGAGGCCGUCCGGGUACUACGUAGCAGUCAGGACACUGAGAUAUCAGCAAAGUGUUAUGGGACCGAAGAAGAAGAAAAUAGAAGAAAGACAUCAAAGUCAAACUGGAAGUAGGACAGUUUGGAAAGCAUUUCCCAGAAGAGGUGAUACUGAGGAGAGACAAUGAGUGGCUCAUCCCCUGAACGGUGUGUGGAAUAAGGUGAAACAUGUAGCAAUCAAGAAACUGGACUCAUCCCCUGAACGGUGUGUGGAAUAAGGUGAAACACGUAGCAAUCAAGAACUGGACUCAUCCCCUGAACGGUGUGUGGAAUAAGGUGAAACAC